Molecule: ribosomal RNA, 451 nt
Filed under: uncultured bacterium
Lineage: Bacteria
Description: partial 16S ribosomal RNA
Rfam family: Bacterial small subunit ribosomal RNA
Source: RNAcentral
GUAGGGAAUAUUGGACAAUGGGGGGAACCCUGAUCCAGCCAUGCCGCGUGUGUGAAGAAGGCCUUUUGGUUGUAAAGCACUUUAAGCGAGGAGGAGGCUACCGAGAUUAAUACUCUUGGAUAGUGGACGUUACUCGCAGAAUAAGCACCGGCUAACUCUGUGCCAGCAGCCGCGGUAAUACAGAGGGUGCAAGCGUUAAUCGGAUUUACUGGGCGUAAAGCGCGCGUAGGUGGCCAAUUAAGUCAAAUGUGAAAUCCCCGAGCUUAACUUGGGAAUUGCAUUCGAUACUGGUUGGCUAGAGUAUGGGAGAGGAUGGUAGAAUUCCAGGUGUAGCGGUGAAAUGCGUAGAGAUCUGGAGGAAUACCGAUGGCGAAGGCAGCCAUCUGGCCUAAUACUGACACUGAGGUGCGAAAGCAUGGGGAGCAAACAGGAUUAGAUACCCUAGUAGUCC